Molecule: unclassified non-coding RNA, 240 nt
Filed under: Hevea brasiliensis (rubber tree)
Lineage: Eukaryota; Viridiplantae; Streptophyta; Magnoliopsida; Malpighiales; Euphorbiaceae
Source: RNAcentral
GUAAUAGGUGACUCUGGUUUGGCUAUGGGGCCUAAUUUUAUUGCUGUAUCGGAAUCAGAGAACAGCGAGGAUCGGAGUAGUAGGUCUUCUACUGCAGCUAGUGCUCCAAAGGCAAGGUAUGAAGCACCUGUGCACCUUGGUUAUCCAUCUGACAAGCAUUGGUUGAGGAGUUUGAGUGGGAAGAGCUUGAGCACAUCAGCUCAGAAACCACAUCAGAGAAAAGGUCGGGCUGAAACUUGU